UUCUAGAGAUAGAAGGUUACUUCGGUACAUCGGUGACAGGUGGUGCAUGGUUGUCGUCAGCUCGUGUCGUGAGAUGUUGGGUUAAGUCCCGCAACGAGCGCAACCCCUAUUGUUAGUUGCCAUCAUUCAGUUGGGCACUCUAGCGAGACUGCCGGUAAUAAACCGGAGGAAGUGGGAUGACGUCAAAUCAUCAUGCCCCUUAUGACCUGGGCUACACACGUGCUACAAUGGUUGGUACAACGAGUUGCGAGUCGGUGACGGCGAGCUAAUCUCUUAAAGCCAAUCUCAGUUCGGAUUGUAGGCUGCAACUCGCCUACAUGAAGUCGGAAUCGCUAGUAAUCGCGGAUCAGCACGCCGCGGUCGAAUACGUUCCCGGGCCUU
This 381-nucleotide ribosomal RNA is filed under the name uncultured Streptococcus sp. RNAcentral describes it as "bacterial SSU rRNA". It matches the Rfam family "Bacterial small subunit ribosomal RNA", at positions 998 to 1382 of the family's 1533-position model. The record is from RNAcentral. Lineage: Bacteria; Bacillati; Bacillota; Bacilli; Lactobacillales; Streptococcaceae.